This is a long non-coding RNA of Bombus huntii, 15892 nucleotides long. RefSeq lists it as uncharacterized. The record is from RefSeq and is a predicted model, not a curated record. Lineage: Eukaryota; Metazoa; Arthropoda; Insecta; Hymenoptera; Apidae. The transcript has 4 exons.
AGAAAUUUUCAUGUAAAUUGAUUCACGUAAAUAAAUGGUACUUGUAAUUAUCUUGUUUGUAAAUUAUCUAUUGAAAACUCCGAACUGAGGAAAAAGCGUCAAAACAUAUGAAUAUUCUAAGAUAAAUUAACAAAAUAAAAAUACAAUUUAUUCUAUAGCAUGUGAGAAAACAAGGAUUCAGGAUGUAAAUUAUUUCUAUUGUACAAGACAUUGAUUAUAAGAAGUGUAAAAAAUAUUGAAUUAAGAUACAAGCUGUAAUCAACUUUUUGUGUAAGAGAUUUAUAUAUUUGCGUAGUAUCAUAAAAACAACUUUCAACAAGGUAAUUUAAAAAAUUUACAUAUUCUUUUAGUCAUUUAUCCAUGAAAAUAAAGAGUUUAAUUAUAGAAACGGAGAUAAAAAUAUUAUGCCAUAACAGGAUAUUAUCGUCUACCUACAAAGAAAAUAUGAAUCAAGCCACAAAACUAUACAUUUUUCUACAUAAAAGAUGAUUCUCCUUUCAAUGUCUGACUACAUAACAUCCACAUACGUAUAAAUAAUUAAUGAAUAUUCCAGUCGUUUAAUUUUUUCCCUUUUUUCCGUCUCAUAUGCAUAUUUCGCUUUAACUACACUGAUUGUCGUGCAUGUAUAAAUUACACUCAUUAACUAUUCUUACUAAUAUUUUACUAUGUACGUUUAUACGUAUAGCCUGUAAUAUUGAUUUGAACAAGUCCUUUAAAACGUUGUGCUAAAAAGAUUAACGGAUUAAGGAACAUGAAUUCUUAUAUUUUUCGUUAAUAUCUGUUUACGAAUUUUAAUAAAUAUCCGUCUACUGCUAGAAGUUCGAAAAAAAAUUGCUUCGAAAGAUACAUUGACUCGAGUGUAAUACUAUAAAAUAGCCUUGAUUUUAUUGAAUCCAUUUUAUAUAGCGCUAUAAGUAAACAAUGUAGUGAAGCUAAUGAAAAGCUAACUCCAAAAUGGUAACAGACAGAUAUCACAUGUUAGAUGCAUAAUUAUUUGUUUUUUCAAUAGUUCGGUCAUUAAUAAUGCAUUACAGUAUUAACAUCUAAUAAGAAUUCAAUAGGUAGGAUUCAAUAUGCACCAUCGAUAAAAUUCGUUGCUUACGCUCUAUGUUACAUAUAAAAAUAAAAUGAAAAAUGAUAUACAUUAUUUAAUAUUAAUUUUUCAAAUAUCAUCCUGUGUAGAUUAAAAAAUAAUUUAGACGAUAUAUAAUAACAUAAUUAUCCAAUACCUAUAUAUAUAUAUAUAUAUAUAUGAGCAGAAAAAUAUUUUACGACACAAGAAAAAGACCAUUUAUUUGAUAUAUGUAAUUGCUACAUCUUAUUUUUCAGUAAAUUAUCUCAUUAUAUCGUUAUAUUUUGCAAUCUUAUAUCAGCAACGCACAGUGUGUGUAGUGAUUUACCCUUGCUAUUACUAUUUUAGUCGGGUUUUAUUAAUGAAGUUUAAUAAGGACACGACAAUUUUUCAAAAUUAAUUAAUGAAAAUAUCGUCGAAAUUGAAUUUUUUAAAACGAUAUUUUAUUAUCGGACUACCUUUAAAUGCACUGUGACAAAAGCCAUAUGCCUUUUCUUGUCAUAAAUAUCUCGCUGGAUAAUUGCGAAUACAAACUUCAUUUCACCGCUUCGAAAUAAAAAUGAACUCUUGAAUUUUUACAUGUUUUCGUUAUCAAAAUGAUCUCGUUAUUUAAAAGCAUAACAUCUUAUUAAUAUAUACAAGUUUGCUUUUAUCCAGUUAAAUUUUUUUGUAGAAUGUUUAUUAUACUCUUUGUAUAAUAUUCCCUUGUUCAAUUAAUAUGAUAUCGUGUCGUAAUAGAAUAAGAUUGGCACGUGCCCGGUUUCUGUCACUAUUUCACGAGGUCGCGUAUUUCUUAAAUUUCGCUCUGAAACGAAAAAUGACCGCUUUUAUAACGUUAACUAUGAUAGACGAGUUACAAGGAAGCUACGUUACAGUUACUUUAAUUACAGGAAGCAACACAAUUUUUACGAAAGUAGACCUCGGAGUCAACGUUGUUGUACCUCUUGUGAAUCACUUCAAUGUGUUCAAGUUAAUUACAUACCCUUUUUCGUUGGAAGCAAAAGUAUACAACUGUAGAGGAAACAAAAUACAGAAUUAAAACGAAGACAGUCUCUAAAUACAUUAAAAGUACAAAUUUAUAUGUCCAGUUGUGAAAAGUUCGUAUCAACCAAUAGAUAUUAAAUGUAGGAGAGAAAUGAUACAAUUGUUGAAACUAAUUAUAAUCUGAUAGAUGCAAGCAAUAUAUAUGAAAAAGUGUUUGUAAUGGGUAACGUAACAUAAAUAUAACAUUGUACCGGCAAUAUUUCUUCCUAACAUAUUUAAUUACAAAUAAAUAAUUACAAACGAACUUGAAAGUAAUCGACUAUUCAAUUGUUGUAAUGUAAUUGAAUGUAACGUGUAGAUCAUGCUUUUAUAGUGCGAGCUAAGAAACUAUAGUGUUAGAAUGGUCGCAAUCCGUUUGACGCGGUACGUACGAUCAACAACGCAACAAAAUUAAAAUAAUUUUGACAUUAAAAACUGACAAAUAACAUAUACGCGACAGCUUAAAAACUGAGUUCGAUUAUUAUUCAACGAAACUGUUUGGUAGUAUUCUACAUGGUCAUCGGUACAGGUGUAAUGUAACCUCGACUUUAUUUGUAGAUCUCAAAUACUACCUGCUUCCCGGUAAUCUGAGUAAUACCCGGUAACGACUCGCUCAAUUUUACAAACAAAUCUAUAUUUUUCCAUGAAAAAAAAAUUCUUUUUAUAUAACUAUUAUAUUACUAUUACUAUAUGUAUACAUGUACGUUGUACGUAUGUAUGUAUGUAUGUGCGUUGUUUAUGCUAUAUCAUAUUUUUCACGCAGUCUUGUCUUGUUUGAUUUUUGUCUGCGUUAAAUCGUAAAGUCUCCUUCAUCCUAUCUGUAGUAGGAUCGUAUAGAGCACAUUUAAGUAUAAAGGUCUUAAAUCAUCUUGCGUAACUUGUUUUGUAUUCAGAAAGUCUAUAUUAAUAAUACAUGUUUGUCAUAUUCUAUUGAUUAUUCUAAGUAAUAGGUGAAAAGAAGCGAUUCUUCAACGUCUGCUUGAAACUACAUCGAUGGAUCUAUGUUGUCUAUUGCAUAUAACAAGAAUAGCUUCUUAAUCCAAUUUCUAUCGGUAAUGAUGUUAGAAACAGAAUUGUCUUCUUUCUAUGCAGAAAUUACGUAAACAAUAAUAUUUUUACAUUAAUUGAACGAUGUACAUAUAAAAAAUAAAAUUUUAUAUUACAAUGUCGGCAUUAUUUGAUAACUAAAUAUCAUUAUUCCACUGAAUGUUUUAUAUUAAAAGAAUAAAAGAGCAAAGUAAAUUGAUCAAUCCCUAAUUAUGAAUUAAUUGAUCGAUUAAACGAUUAAUCAUUAGUAAUUGGUUCAAUGAUCCUAGAUCAUUAUUUCAAAUGUUUAACUUUAUAUAAAUCAGACAUAAACAAAGUUUAUCGGUUAUAGAAGGACCGACGAUUAAACAAUUUGAUUAAUAUUUAUAAAAACUAAAAGAUAGUCGUUCGGGAAAGCGUCAACUUUGGUUGUUGCAAAUCAAAAUAUUAUCAUUAUGUAUCUCGUGAUUCUACAUAACAUAUAUAUUAAUAGAAAUUUAAGAUACGCAAGUAAAAGAAGAAAGUAUAACACUAUAUUAAAUAAUUAUUCUAUGGCGAUAACGUUACCAUCAGUCGAUAAUUCGCAAAUCGCAGCAACGUUUAACAUAUAUACGUAUUUAGGUUCUAAUUCUUAUUUUGUUAUUAUAGUCCCAUUUUUGUUUCCCACUAUAUUUUAUUUUUAUAACAACUAAUCAUUACAAUACAAUUUACUGCGGAAAUAGAGAUCGAGCCUAUAAAAAUACAAAUUAAUCGAAAAGAUCUGCUGAACAUAAAUUUCUUUUACUAUUAAAAAUUAUAAUUUGCAAAAGUAAAGAACUUGGUUAAACAUUUUUCGAAUUACAUCUAGAGUAGCUUUUUGUUAAUGGAACUUCUGAUAGAUGGCUCCAUGGGCAUCAAGAAUAUAAACGGUAUAUUACGAUUGAAUCGUAACACGUGCGAUGCGUACAAUGCUAAAAUAAAUAGUUUCUGUUAUACAAAUAUAUACGUAAAUAUUAUAUAAAAAUUAGUGAGAGGGCGCUCGAUUUUAAUUCUUUUCAACAAACAGAUAAUCGUAAUCGCGAAAUAACGAAUAGAUUAAAAGACAAGAAGAAAACAUUCUCCCAAGUAAAGAAUCGGUAACGAGGUAUACUUAAUUAACAUAAAUAAUAGCUUUUAUUAACUAAUUGUUAAAUAUAUUAUAUAAAUUGUUUUUGAGUUCAGAGGUGAUACGAAGUUAAUAUUUUUCAUUUGAAACAACACUCUGUUUGAUCGGUUUAAACGAUUAGUUCAAUCGUUAUAUAACAAUUGGUGUUAUGUGUAACAUAGUUUGUACAAACUUUGAUACCAAUAGUGCUAUUAACAGAGUAAAUUAACGCGGCAAACGAAUAACAGGGCAAACAACGAUCGACUAUUUCAAAAACGCUGUUACCUUCAGUCUUAUAGUAUAUAAUAUAUAUAUAUAUAUAUAUUAUCUUAGAAUAAUGUACGUAUAUCCGAAACUUUAUACACGUUUCACAUCUAUUUACUACAUCUAAUACAUGGUUGUUAUUAUUAAGAAAUAUCUACCCGUUAUUUAAAAGAAUCCAUGAUGCUGUAACUAAGCGGUAGAUCUGAAGUCAGACCGUAGUCACUGGUCUGAUUAGCUACCGAUUCGAACUACUUCGGCAAAGUCAGUGCAUGCGCUUCAAGGUUUUCAUAGUGGCUGUCGCAGUGAUUAUAAAGAUCUCGAAAUAGGACAAAAGCUCCGAUCUGUAUUGCACGAAAUGUACGACAAAUGAACUCGUAUUCCUUAAUUUCUUCUAUCUCUAGUCAUUGCCGUCGCGUAUUCAAACGCGUACAACUUCUCCACGUUUCUUCAUCUGCUUCAAAUUUUGGUGAAUUUUAAGGAACCACGCUAUACGAUGGUUAAAAGAUAACGCUUCGUAUUAGACUGUGGCGAAGAUCUCAGCUCGUACAGUUACAGUUUCGAUCGAAACUAUCCGAGUAUCGAUCGUACAACCUGUAACAUCGUGUUACGCUCGGACGUGUGUACACUGUACACGCGCUUCAUUGCACGGGAGCAGGCGACACAGACACGUCCGUGUGAAAAAGUGGUAACUGGUAACAUGUAUACACGCGUAUUACGUGUGCACGCGGAAAAGCUGAAGAUUAAAAAAUAUACAAAGGAGAAGGGAGGUGAUGAAGAAUGGAAGAGUGAGAUGGGGAAGGUUGUGUGUCGUUACGUGCGAAAGUGAGAGACAGAGAAAGAGAAGGAGAAAGAGGAAGAGAAAGAGAACGGGAAAAGGAAAGGGAAAGGGAAAGAGAAAGGGAGAGAGAGGGAAGAAGCGGUCCGCAAGAAGAUUCUUGGAGUCGCGGAUGGUAAAGGUUCGGGCAAGGGUAGGUGGGUGGUUGUGUCGGCGAAGGAGAGCCACAGGAGGACUAGAGGUGAAGAAGGAGGUAGAAGCGAAGGUGGAGGUUGCCGGAGUAGGUGGAUGAGGAUGAAGAGAAGGAUGAAGAAGAGGAAGGGGGAGGGUGGUUUAGGCGAUGGUGGGAGUGGGCCGAGCUAAGACGCGUAAUGACGCCCUGAAUCAAUAUGUGAGGCACUGAGAUAUGCAUACGAACUAAGACAACCGCACACCAACCAGCCACAGCUCCUCUGCUCGGCGUCGCGGCGCGGCGUCCGCGCCGUGGCGCAAAAGGAGGGGAGAAAUUAAAGACGAAGCAGGCACAAAAAUAACGACCCACCGGCAGUACCGUCUUUCCUUCUUUCACCUUCGCUAUUUCCUUUAACGUUCCUUUCUCUCUUCGCUUCUUUCCCCUCUUUCUUCCCUCCUUGCCACUCCCGCCCACUAUCCUCUAUCUUCUUUUCUCUUUCUUUCUGUCCUUUAAACUUUCGCCGCCUCUCUUUCCUCGUCUCAGCUGAGAUUCUCUCCGUCUUUCUUCGUUCUGCUCUCUCGAAGACGUGACUGCACGGCUGAGAUGAGACCAUAGGCAGAGGGAUACGAUGCUGCUAGUCGGUGUCAAGAGAGAGCAAGAGAGUGGCAGAGACGGACAGAAAGACAGAAAGGGAUGGAGGAGGGACGGUGACAGGGGAGGGAAACGAGAGAGGGUUGACGAGUGGAGGAGACGAUCGGUUAGUAGAUCGUUUCGAUCGGGACAAUGGUCCUGGCUCUCGAGUGGAUCCUUGAAACGAUCUUAUCCGUACAGUCUUAAUCCACGUCCCUGCUAUUAUUCGCUUUUCCCGGCACAAAGAAAUACAAAUGCCGUUCCCGUAAUAGCCUGCGAAUGUAUGUAUACAUGCAAACCGAGGGCUCUUGCCGAAGGGAUGGCUUGGUGCCGCGAUUAGACGAGAAUGCAGACAGAAAUGACGUCGUUGUGUAGAUUUUAAUACGAUAAAUGGCUCGCUUCUACUACACGUGUUCAUCUUCCCUUGCAGUUUCGGCAAGCUGAUUUAAUCAAACGAUACAGCUCGUUAGCGAUUUUUCUCUCUUCUAUACAACAUUUUCCAACAUUUCCCUCUUUCCUUUAAUCUCGUUUUAUAUUUCGAUCGAUUCAUAGAUCCGCUAUUCGUCCAUCUAUUCGUUACGCGCCUUCUCCACAAUAUUUACAUCGGUCAUCGUUGAUCCAGCGUCUUCUUUUCUACCGUUGCAUUCAACGUCCUAACAAUCGCCUACGCAUAUACGUAUCUCCGGUUUCGAUAUUUUCUUUGAUUACCAUCGUACUCUUGUAUCUCAUUAGUAGCAUCGCACUGGCAUCAAUCAAUCGGUUCGUAAUAGUUAUUCGUUUCUAAAUUUCAAAUUAAAACGACAAACCGUACGGAAUCACCAUCUUUUUCUUUUACGAACAAACAGAAUUGCGGUUAUACAGGCUUAGACAUUUUUAAUCAGAGCACGUACAUUUCUAUAAUUGCAACACUAUUACCACCCCACCCGUUUGACAUCUAAAUCGAUUUACGUCCUUUACGAAAUUAUACUACGAAGCUACACAACGAUUGCUGCCGCGUAUCGUUUCUCCCUUGUCGUCUACGUUCGUACAGCGAAGAUCUUCCUACGUAUAUGUAUACGAGCAUAUGUAUAGGUAAAUCUCGUGUCAAGGAAAAACGUUAGUUAUUUGUUAGUACGCUAUACAAUGAACCGUUAGACUGUUGAUCAAUUGCCAACGGAGAAAACAGUCGUAAAUAUGUCCUAGAUAUAUUGUACUAUGCAAGUAGGUGGACAGAGAAAGAUAUUGCUCGUGACUCUUACAUACAUCUGUAGACCUCUGUCAAAGUUUUCGCAAUUAAUAUUCCCCUUGUUCCUUCUUUUCGUGCUUCGUAGGAAAGAAUGUUAGCGAAAAGUAGGAAAACAAUUCGUCGAUCGAUUUCCAAGAGACAAGUGUAAUUAUUUAACACUAUCGAGGAAAUGUUAUGCGAAAAAGCGCAUCUAAUUAAAAUCUCAGUGAGCCAUCCGAGUUAGUUUACGUGUUCUUAGGAGAAUAUACGAAAGAUAUCGUUAGAACGUACACGACUGUUUUGGUUGACGCAAGAUAGUUCAGAUACGUAUUAUCAUGCGAUAUAUCGAUAAAUCAAUUUAUCUUCUGACUUAAAUACGAGUCAGAUAAAUUUCGGUUAUUUGCGAUAAUAUAGGUAUACUAUUUUUAGUGAUAUUAGCAUUUAACGAGUCACGGUUCGAGAUAAAUGAUUUAUGUCGUGUUCGUUGUUAAUUUCGGACAAUAUGCUUACAAACAAUAGGAAAAGAGUCGGCGAAGGGAAAGAAGAGAUUUAUGAGUUUCAUUUACAUGUGACCUAAUUCGUCUGAACGUAAUCAAUGACCAAGACAUACAAAUCAGAUUAAAACUCUGAUUUGGUUAACUACACACGAAACAGUAAUAACCCCUCCUAGGUCAAAUUUAAGGCACCGUAAGGGAUCGUAUCGAUCACGAAACCCGAAAGUCAACGAUCGUCGUGUUUCUUUUAAUAUGCGUCACCCUGCAGUACUUCGUAAUCAGGUCGCUAUUGACAAUAUUACAAUUCAAUUUAACGUUGAAAUUUGCUUCGUUCCAUUGUCAAAUCAGUUUCUGUUUUUCGUAAUAAAUUUCAAAUUAACGAAAACCUUCGAUACAUGGUUACUUUCCGAACUUUAGUUGACAAAAGAGUAUUUCAGAAAGAGUAUGUUAGAAAUGUCCCUUUUUUCAAACGAUUUAAGUUUUUAUAAAAAAAUGAAAAGGAUUAGUUUGCUAGAUGAUACCUAAGAAAAGUUUUCGACAAAUGUUGCGGUUGCUCGUGAUCGCCUCUUUUUACAACUACUUUUAUCCGUGUCUGUAAUGAAAAUUUGGACGACACGUUUUGUAGAUCUACGUCAAUCAUAUACGUGUUCUUCGACACUUCUAGCCGAUAACUGCGAUAAAGACCAAAGAUUCUUACAUCUUUCGACGCCAAUUGCGCGUUGCCGUAUAAAUCGAUUUCGAUGAAAUUUUUAGCACGUACAAUACAUAACUGACAAGAGUGUUGUUAACAUUUUCAAUAUACACUCAGAUACGAUACAAAUUUCUUCAAAAUUUUCCUUAGGCGUUAUUUAGUAAACUAAUCCCUUUCGCUUUUCGAUAAAAGCUCAAGUUCGUUCGGUUCAAUUUUAAAAACGUCAUUCCUAUUUCAAGGAGUGUUGAAAUAUUAUUGUGACCAACUGCACGUGAGUGCAUUGCACGUGUUCCAUUAUUGUAACUUACGAUGCCAAAUAUGUCAUCAGUUUGUAGAUAUUUGCUACGAAUUAACUUAGAUUUGGAUAAACCUUUUAGAGGAUAGGAACGUGAUCUAUUGAUCACCGCUACUUCCAGAAUCUCGUAUUUCGCUUAUUCCAAAAAUAUGUUACAAAUUAAAAAACCGACGAAAAAUUUAAUUUUCUAAUCCAUUGUUCGACUUUCCGAUCAUCGGCAUUCUUGUCAAUGAAAUAAGAGCCAGAGAGCGUAACAUCGUUAAAAAAAAUUUCAUCGCAUUCGUGAGUCACAAAAUCGAACAAUUUUAUAACACAGAAUAAAUAUAAAAAUACUGUCUGUCUUUUAUCGAAAAUAAAUUUUAUCGCCAAUUAGGGGAAUUUCAAUUUUUAUACAAACUACAUGUCGAUAACCUAAACUAACAGCGACUGAAAACGACCAACUAGUUUUAUCAAAAGUAUGGACACGCGUAAUUACUCUCGAAUUUUCAUCGCGCUUCGUGUCCACCUGCGGGUCUAAGCGUCUAGUUUAUCGGCGGCGUGGAGGGAUGUCUUGGACGGAUGAUACUCGUCUGCGUCUCGAAGAAACCGAUCCACGAGAUCCGACGAGCGCGGUGAUCAUCGUUGUUGCCAACACGAAGCGUUUAUCUCUAGCGUGUAAUCGAUAUUAAAAGUCUAAAAUGUGUAGCGUGUGUGGCAAGCUGGCCGCGUGUAGGGGUCAUAGCUCGACGUUGGGAGUUGGGUGAACCCCGCGUUACUGGUUGAAAGGGGAGGGUGGUGGAGAACAGGCAGGCGACCAGGGGGUGAGAGGGGGUGGUAAGAGUGGUGAGCAGCGGCGGUGGAGGCGGCAGCAGCGGCGACGGUGGUGGUGGUGGUGGUGGUGGUGGCGGUGAUGGUGGUGAUGGUGGUGGUGGUGGUGGUGGUGGUACGAAGAGGUGGAGGUUCUCAUUAAGCAGCCCGGGCACCGCGCUCUGGGGGUUUAAAUAAGAAGAAGAAGCGUUGCUGUGUGUGUGGAAGAAGGGAGAAAAGGAGAAGAAACCGGUAAGACUAAGGCAGUAAGGGUGAGCAGGCGAGCGAACGCGAGAGGAAGUGGGAAACAGAGAGAGAAGAAAAGGAGAUAGAAAGUGAAGGGGGUCGGGGAAUUAUCAGGGCUCGCGCUCUUCGCGAAGGGUUGGGGGUACCGGCAGGCAAUAUGGCCGCUACUGAUGAGUGAUGCUCGUAACCCUUACUGCCAUCCAUCCCUGACUGAUACGUCAGUCAGUCGGAUCUCUUAACAUACUUGGGAAUUAUGCUCGCCACGACCCUUCUUUAUCUCCAUUCCUACCAUUGUUCUCGUCGAAGGUCCUCCGUAUUCGGUCAAUGUUGCCGUGAACCGCGUAUCAAUUACUUUAAUGAGACGGACCUCCUUCGUGGUUGAUUUUCCAUACUUCUCUUCCUCGCUGAAUUUUCUAAGCGAACCUGGACAUGCAUCGAACCUUCCGGAGUAAAAAGACGAUCAAUUAUAUCGUUGUAUCGUUGUGCAUAGGUUUGUUCGACAAGAUAGAAAAAGAUCUUUCUUUCGAACGAUACGAACGGUGGUAACGAAUAUCUGCAAUUAGGAUUCUCGCGCAACUACUCGAAGUUAUUUCCGUGAUUGCGAAUUACAUUGUACGUAAUCUCGACGCGAUCGAACGAAUUCGCGCUGAUCCAAAUUAUCAGCUUCGAAUUUACGCGAACGUGAAUGUCAAGUUGCGGUUAAGAACGGCAGCAGCGUCGAAUCGCUGUAGAACAGCCCACGGUGGAACCUUUGUUACCAAACGCGUCGGCCAUACGUUUAUAUUAAGGAGAAUUUACAUUGGAAAAAAGGAACGGAUCGUCGUUGUAAAUUGAAAAGUUGUUUCGUGAUUUUGCCAUUUGGGUGGUUACCCAAAGCCGACUGGUUAGUCGGAGCUGCGAAAAUUACAAAGUGACGAGCAACGUCAUAGCCGUUUUCGUAACGAAUCAAACUUGAGUCGCACCAUACAUCCGAUAGAAUUAUCGAUACAAUCUUCAUUUCCCACGGACUAAUCAGAACACUCCCCCAAGGGCAAAUCAUCUUUCCAACGAAAAUAUGAUUAGAACAGAUCAAGGGUGUCCAUGGAAGUUAUAUAAGACACGGAUCGCCCCGGCACCUUUAACGAUCAAGAUCCAAAGCGUAUAGGUAUACAAGCGAGCCCGACGAAAGGUAUUAAGAAGGUACAGGCAGCCCUAACCUAACUGCAGCAGCCCUGGACCGAUCCUCAUCCUCCUUACACCCACACUCCGUGGCCGUCUUACUCCCUGGCCCGAAGUUAAGGGUGGUCUCUUUGUCUCGCCCCUUCACCCUCCUCUUUCCCAUCGUAUGCGUGCUACACGGACGAAAGACACGCGUGUGCGUGAAACCUCGCAAGACGGACAACGGGGUUGUUGGGUGGAUGGCUCGAAGGUGUAGGAUGAGAAGAAGGAGGAGGCGAAGGAGAGAAAGUGAAAGAGGGAGCGAGAGAAGCUGGCACGAGCGAAGGAGAAAGCGAGAGAAAGGGUGAGGAGUGCAAACGGAGGGGAAUGCAAAUUAGAAACGCUUGGGCAGAAAGCAGGAGGAAGAGGGCCAGGGUAGCGUGGGAGGAUAGAGAGGGUGGCACUGGCUGGAUGGGGGUAUAUAAGAGGUGGUGACUGAGGGUGGUGGCCAAGGAACUUCACUUAUGUAAACCGUGUAACGGUGUGCGCGCUCGCUUGCCGCGUGUGUUCACACUGGCACCUACCGGUUUCUCUAUGUAUGUGUACGCGUGUCCCCCAUGCGUGUGUGUAUAUAUCGAUUGCUGGCCAAGCUACCCCGCGGGGUGCCCUCCUUACUACCCCUAUAGUAAUUAUUGUGCUUCUCACAUGUGUGUAUUUGUCGUGAGAUUUCGCGCAAGAUGGUAUGCGUGCGGGCGAGCGCACACACGUUGCAAAAGACCCUGUACACGUAUAUCCGAGUUCCUUACGUGCCUUGUCCGAUGGUUCCUAUAGCGAGCUACGGCAUUUAACGGGUGUCAUCCUAUAAAGCGAACUUCCAUUCGUUACGAACCCGUACGAACAUCCUAUCGUACCCGUCCCGACCAACAGUUCGUUCCGGCAAAAUGUUUUCUACGAGUCGCCGGCACCGUUUCUGCAAAUUCUUACUUACUUCCUCGUUGACCGCGGCUAAUUAGCAGAUUUUCCCAGAACGCACGCACGCCUCUACGAUGCUUUUCUUACAUUUUCUUCGUAAAUACAAUCUUUAUAAAUAUAAACUGUAGUCGUUCGAGUGGAGACAAAACGAGAGUCGCAAUAAGGACUACACGCGAAAUGGAAGCUGCUCCGUAGAUAAGAAUUUACGUAACGAACGCUCGACUUUAACUUUCGUUUUGGCUAACGAUAUCUAUGGGAGAACAGCUGUUCGCGAAGCUUUACGGAAAACACUUUAAAGGAGUGGAAGGCGCGAGACCGAACAUCCAAGAAUAAGAUCGGUUUAUUUUCAUUUCGAAGAAAAGUUGCCAAAGUCGUUCGAAAUCGUUGCACGAUUACACGUUCGAUACCAUCGAUUGUACUAACUUCAGCAACUCGAAUCCUUCUAUAUCGUUCGAUCGUGGAACGGGCACGCUUUAAAAUUCUGCUUUACAUAGGUCGACACGCGAACCUUUAACCGCCUCGUCAGAUGGAAACAAAGUCGCACAAGCGUAACUACGUACUAGUUCUACGCGUAACGCGCAUAGUUGACACUGGGGAACGGUCGUGCGUGGCGUUCGAACGGUCGUGCCACCUGAUAGAUCGAGCCUCGCUGACGCUCUUAUUCGAAAUAAAUGGCAAGACUCGUGCGAUAGUAUGUAAUUCCUCGGCCAGUAUUUCGUUCUUCGCACACACGAUCGCGCGUCCGUGACACCGUAGGUGAAGCCACGUGCGGGUUCACACACAAUUUCACCGGCACGGUAGUGCACACAACUAACGGUCCGAAGUGCAAGAACAUCCCUGCAAGCCACCCUCGACCACCUCGUCCAUCCUCUCCUAGGGCAGUCUUGGAAAGGACCUUCAAGCAAGAGGAUAGGAGAGAAGCGGUUAGGAACGGACGACGCUGCCUGCCUUCGCAGCGGCCGGGCCGCGCUCCUUCGCGCCGCUCCUCGGCCACCCACUCUAUUCAACCGCGAAAAUUCUGCAGGAAUUUUAAUAACUCGGAUUCGUACUGAUUAAAACGGAGGUCGCAUCCGACAUUCCUCCGACCAGCUUACGGUUGCUACUUGGCAGCGGCAGAGUCACGGCGUACAACGAAGGGACGAAUCGAUAAGACAGCAGCGUGCAAACCACGUCCGGAACUGGUCACAUCAAGUUGAACGCUCUACUGUCCAUAAUUCCCCGCAAUUCAGCGUGAGAGGAACUCGCGGUAGGACCAAGCACCUAAAUGAAGCCGUGUGCUUCUAACGACAUGCACUCCGACGAGGAAGGAAAGACGAGAUUCUGUUGGUAAAAGGGAUGCACCACGUACCGUCUGCGUUGCACUGCCACCGACCUCGAGAAUAUUUACUAAUUCCCGUUGCGUAGCGAGAUAACGUUGGAAGGAGAGCGGAGGAGAAGAAGAGUCGGUUGUCGUAGGACGUCGAGCGGACUAGGAAAGAGAUGGCCAACGGUAGGUCCAGAAAACGGCAGAAGCGGAAGAAAAAGGCAAGGAAACGGAGGAAGACGAGAAAGAGGCAGGACAAUGGUGUAGAGAUAGCGCGCGGGAAAGAAGGAGAAAGGCAGUGGUGUACGCAAAACGAGAAAGAAUCGCGGUAAGACAUCUGUAGAGAGAAAGAGCGGACAGAGGAAAACACGGGAAAGAGAAACGAGAUAGAACGAUUUUCCCUCUACUCCGGAGAGGCAACGACUACCAAUUCCCUUAUACCCACCAGCCACCAACCCACCACCCUCGAAAAGAGUAUUUAAAGUGACGUCACGCGGUGCGGGGCGGGGGAGGUGAGGAAGAAGAGGAAGAAGAGGAAGAAGAGGAGGAGGAGGAGGAGGAGGAGAAGGAGGAGGAGGAGGAAGAAGAAGAAGAGGCGGAGGAGAGUCGAGGGGGAAGGGGUUGUUCGGGCAACAGGAAAGAGAGAAAGAGUAAACUGGCGAAAGAGAAAGGGGGAGGACAGGGAGAUGCUUUAAGACGCUCAAUAUAAAUACUAGAGGGGGUUGAGAAAAAGGGUUGCUUCCCUUCGGGCCGACGACGCCGGCCGAAGCGUGUACGCUCAAGAAGAGCGUGAAAGAAAGACAGCGGAGCAAGGACCAUCCAACAGAGAGGGACGGUGUACAUCGUGGAAGAAGAAAGAUGAGAUGAUUGAUCGAACGGAUUCUUCCCUUCGUUGUCCAGCCAUAUCCCCACUAGCGUGAGUUCGUGAGAUGUACCGUGGCGGCUGGCGCGUGCACGCUCUUCCGAGAAUUCGACGGAAGAAGCUUAAGGAUACGGAUGGAACAUUGGGCACGGCAUAGCGCUUUGUAUCGAGAAGCAGCUGGAAGGUUCCGUGGCACGUGACGUCACACAGACAUCUACUCAGGUCACACUCUUUACUGCAUAGAAAGUGGGCUUCAAAACCUUUUCAAGAGCCAUGGGUCACUAAGUCGGUUAGUCUGAGAAUAACUAGCCAACUGUCAACAUUCCAUAACGCUCACUUAUAUUUCCUGUAAUUUUUGUUUAAUAAAUAUCACAUAAUAUUAUUUCAACACAAACAUCGUGUCUUCCACAGAUUAUUAAUCUUAAUUUCGAGAUGAAAUCCUAACAAAUUAAUCAAUACCCGCAGAUAACAUUCCUUCUUAUCGACGCGAAAUUGAUUCGCAGGACACGAGAGUCGUUAUUUCCUCACACGCCGGUCGUCUUUCAUCGUCCGUCACCGACAUCCACGUAAUUUACGUUUAUGUAAAUCGCAUUUUUCAUUUUCACGCGCUUAUGAAAUACCUUAGUUCGACUGUUAAUCGCGCUCCAGUAUUAUCGUACGCUAUGAAAUGGCGAAUGUUACGUUAAUUAUUGUUACGCGAAUUAAUUGUUACAAAUAUCUCGCUUCGUACGAUGAAGGAUAUUAUUCUAUAUUAAGUUCCGUGUUACACUCUGUAGCGCCAAAAGCUUGUACGCGUGAAAGAACCGAUAAAAUCGUUCCAUGCUAUUCAUCUUGUUCUCUUCGGAUAAUCAUAUUACAUCUCGACAUUACGUAUAUUUCAAUGCUACGUAUCGUUAAAUUCUACGCCAAACACCAAAGGCAAAGCGAAUACGAGUUACUGCUUUCGGUUGUGCGUGAAUUUCGAUUCGUUCGCUUCGAAGAACGUUCGAUCGGCUCGUUACAGACGAAGAACAAAAACGCUGGACGAUAAAACUCGCAGCGCAGCGGAAGAGGCGACGGAGGGUACAAAGUGUUACGGGAAACGAUGAAAAACGAUCGUUCACGUGCAAAAUAGUAAAAAGGCAUUUCCGGAAUAGGACGAAUGUCGAAGCACUCUUGGUAAUGCCAAUGGAUUUAGUGGACGUGGGAUUCCAGGAUUGCCUUGACACAAACAACGAAACUGCGAAAGAGAUGUGAAUUGCUGAUGCAUGACACAGACCGCAGUCCACAUCCGGCAUCAUCGACCGUCUCCUGCAAAUUCAGAUCGUCUGCCUUCCCAUCAUCCGUCCAUUAUUAUCAUCCGUACAGUUUUCAAACGACGUUUCGGUCAAGAUGUUUCGAUUUCCCGGCUAUAACGUAACUGCGCCAUCGUUUCAGUCCCAGUUUCUUUAUCGCGAUAUUCUUUAAUUGUAUCGAUUUGUCAUGAAAUAUCGAAAGUGUUCGAAGCAGUUAAUAAGAUCAAAAUUCACGCGUCUGUGCUACGCGUUCAUUGCGAAAGAAGGACUGACACAGGAUUAAUUAUAAAAAGGUUCUAAAUUUCGUGACAUACAAUUUACAUUUACGGAUACAACGAUAGUGAAGUAGCAGUGCUUCUGGUCGUUGGUUCGCCGUUAAUCUCUUAUCGUAAAUCCACCAAAAUACUAGAGUCUAGAGUAGGUAGAUGAAAAACCCGAGACUAACGAAUAUCGGUAAGUGACACAAGAUGACGUAGCUUCGGUGUCAACGUAACGGGGAUACAACCUAUCAAUUUCUACGAGAGAUUAUACGCGAAGAAUAGA